GGGCAAUAAGAUACUCUCGGGACAAUAACUCCAAGAAAGAAAAGGAACAAUGACAUGCCAAACAAACGACUCAACUAGGUUACUGUUGACCUCAAAUUGGUAAAAGAAAUUACUAACACGUAAUCUUCCUUCUUCACAGUAAAGUAAAAUUAGACUAAUAUAAUCAACCAAACAAAAAUUCAGACUUUGCACUAGAAAAUAAAUAUUACUACAUCACUCCCCAUAAAAAUAAACUUGAUAAGGAUCAAUUCCUUUUCAUGGUUGACAAAAGAAACCCACAAGCUCAACUUAACACAGAGACAAGCAUUUACUAAUUUAGAGGAGAAAAACUUUUACACAUAACAUCAAAACUUGGACUCUCACAUUUUAUACAAGUGAACAAGAGCUUAACACUAAGAAAUAAUUUAAAACUAAUGCAUAUUAUAGGUUUAAGAGUCGCCACUUAAUUUUUAAAGAAAAAUCAAGAAAACUAUUUAUUUUCAACAGAUUAAAACAGGAAUCUAGUGAAAAUCUUAAAGGGUUCGGGGUUCUUAUUAAUAUCCUAGGAAGGUUUUUAAAGCACCUAGAAUAUCCGCUAAUGCGGUUAUCCGACAAUUUAUUUAUUUGGCUAACAUAAUUUUAACUUAACUUAAAUUGCAAAAUUGAACUAUUUUAUAGUUAGAACUAUUUUUAAAGGGGAAAAGGGGAAAUAUUAUCUAAGUGAAAUAUUUUGUGAAUUUAUUUAUUUAUUAUUUAAGUGAAGUAAAAGACGAAUAAUUUAGUUAAGUGAUUAAUUCAGAAUGUGUGUCCUUUGGGGAUUUUGAAUUUUUAAAACCUCAAGAUUAAAUAACAGAUAUCGGCAAGUAAGCAAACACAAUAAAGCAAAGAGGGAAAGAGACUUGGGCCCAAAUCUGGUUUAUCUGUCCGCCUGGGCCAGUAUUUGGGCCUAAUUUCUACUUUGGGCCUUAGACCCAUUUCUACACCUGUCCUAGACUAAUAAUAUUGGGUUUGUGGCCCAAUUUCUCUUUUGGUACCUGUCCUAACAACUAUCAAAUAAUGAUAAUUAAAACACAAAGGGCUUAGGCCCAAAAGUAACAAAAUACAAUUUUUUUUAAAAUAAGAGCAGGCUUGUUGGCCCAAUUUCUUCAACUCUUUGAUUCGAUGCAUAUUUUCAGGCUCCGGGACCUGUUCUUUGAUUUUUAUAGCCGGCUGACUCAAUAAAGAGAAGCACAAUCCCCGAAAUGCAAGGAGGAAGAUGAGUUCAUAGUGAACUCGGACAGAUUUCACAUGCAACAAAAAAGAGAUAAAAUACAUAAGUAAUACUCAUGAUAAAUGGGGGCAAUAAGAUACUCUCGGGACAAUAACUCCAAGAAAGAAAAGGAACAAUGACAUGCCAAACAAACGACUCAACUAGGUUACUGUUGACCUCAAAUUGGUAAAAGAAAUUACUAACACGUAAUCUUCCUUCUUCACAGUAAAGUAAAAUUAGACUAAUAUAAUCAACCAAACAAAAAUUCAGACUUUGCACUAGAAAAUAAAUAUUACUACAUCACUCCCCAUAAAAAUAAACUUGAUAAGGAUCAAUUCCUUUUCAUGGUUGACAAAAGAAACCCACAAGCUCAACUUAACACAGAGACAAGCAUUUACUAAUUUAGAGGAGAAAAACUUUUACACAUAACAUCAAAACUUGGACUCUCACAUUUUAUACAAGUGAACAAGAGCUUAACACUAAGAAAUAAUUUAAAACUAAUGCAUAUU
Molecule: long non-coding RNA, 1737 nt
Filed under: Solanum tuberosum (potato)
Lineage: Eukaryota; Viridiplantae; Streptophyta; Magnoliopsida; Solanales; Solanaceae
Description: long non-coding RNA (STUB_LNC011090)
Source: RNAcentral